Molecule: ribosomal RNA, 253 nt
Filed under: uncultured bacterium
Lineage: Bacteria
Description: partial 16S ribosomal RNA
Rfam family: Bacterial small subunit ribosomal RNA
Source: RNAcentral
UACAGAGGUCUCAAGCGUUGUUCGGAUUCAUUGGGCGUAAAGGGUGCGUAGGCGGCGCCGUAAGUCGGGUGUGAAAUCUCGGGGCUUAACUCCGAAACUGCAUUCGAUACUGCGGUGCUUGAGGACUGGAGAGGAGACUGGAAUUCAUGGUGUAGCAGUGAAAUGCGUAGAGAUCAUGAGGAAGACCAGUGGCGAAGGCGGGUCUCUGGACAGUUCCUGACACUGAGACACGAAGGCCAGGGGAGCAAACGGG